AGCAGCAGCCGCGGGAAUACGUAGGUGGCAAGCGUUGUCCGGAAUUAUUGGGCGUAAAGGGCUCGCAGGCGGUUUCUUAAGUCUGAUGUGAAAGCCCCCGGCUCAACCGGGGAGGGUCAUUGGAAACUGGGAAACCUGAGUGCAGAAGAGGAGAGUGGAAUUCCACGUGUAGCGGUGAAAUGCGUAGAGAUGUGGAGGAACACCAGUGGCGAAGGCGACUCUCUGGUCUGUAACUGACGCUGAGGAGCGAAAGCGUGGGGAGCGAACAGGAUUAGAUACCCGAGUAGUCCCUGUCUCUUAUAC
Molecule: ribosomal RNA, 303 nt
Filed under: uncultured bacterium
Lineage: Bacteria
Description: partial 16S ribosomal RNA
Rfam family: Bacterial small subunit ribosomal RNA
Source: RNAcentral